UGUGUAGGCGGUGCUCUAAGUUCGGUGUGAAAUCUCCUGGCUCAACUGGGAGGGUGCGCCGGAAACUGGAGUGCUUGAGCGUGGGAGAGGAAGGCGGAAUUCCUGGUGUAGCGGUGAAAUGCGUAGAUAUCAGGAGGAACACCUGUGGUGUAGACGGCUUUCUGGACCAUAGCUGACGCUGAGACACGAAAGCGUGGGUAGCAAACA
RNAcentral lists this ribosomal RNA (207 nucleotides) under uncultured bacterium. RNAcentral describes it as "partial 16S ribosomal RNA". It matches the Rfam family "Bacterial small subunit ribosomal RNA", at positions 568 to 774 of the family's 1533-position model. The record is from RNAcentral.